This 506-nucleotide ribosomal RNA is filed under the name uncultured bacterium. RNAcentral's name for it is "partial 16S ribosomal RNA". It matches the Rfam family "Bacterial small subunit ribosomal RNA", at positions 29 to 523 of the family's 1533-position model. The record is from RNAcentral.
AGUGAACGCUGGCGGUAGGCCUAACACAUGCAAGUCGAACGGCAGCACAGGAGAGCUUGCUCUCUGGGUGGCGAGUGGCGGACGGGUGAGGAAUACAUCGGAAUCUACUCUGUCGUGGGGGAUAACGUAGGGAAACUUACGCUAAUACCGCAUACGACCUACGGGUGAGAGCAGGGGACCUUCGGGCCUUGCGCGAUUGAAUGAGCCGAUGUCGGAUUAGCUAGUUGGCGGGGUAAAGGCCCACCAAGGCGAAGAUCCGUAGCUGGUCUGAGAGGAUGAUCAGCCACACUGGAAAUGAGACACGGUCCAGACUCCUACGGGAGGCAGCAGUGGGGAAUAUUGGACAAUGGGCGCAAGCCUGAUCCAGCCAUACCGCGUGGGUGAAGAAGGCCUUCGGGUUGUAAAGCCCUUUUGUUGGGAAAGAAAUCCAGCUGGCUAAUACCCGGUUGGGAUGACGGUACCCAAAGAAUAAGCACCGGCUAACUUCGUGCCAGCAGCCGCGGUAA